RNAcentral lists this ribosomal RNA (33 nucleotides) under Chroogomphus rutilus. Its description in RNAcentral is "partial 28S ribosomal RNA". Lineage: Eukaryota; Fungi; Basidiomycota; Agaricomycetes; Boletales; Gomphidiaceae. The record is from RNAcentral.
CUAAACUUAGCAUAUUCAUAAAGCGGAAGGGCC